CAGUCCAGGGCCAGGACAGGGAUACAGCCCGACUUCUCCAUCAUAUAGUCCCGCAUCACCCAGCUAUAGUCCCACUUCUCCAUCAUAUACGCCUGGCUCUCCUAGCUACAGCCCAACAAGUCCGUCGUACUCCCCAACAAGUCCAUCGUACUCUCCAACCAGUCCGUCAUACUCCCCCACAUCUCCAAGCUACAGUCCCACAUCGCCAAGCUACAGUCCCACAUCACCAAGUUAUAGUCCCACUUCUCCGAGCUACAGUCCCACAUCGCCAGUUUAUAGUCCGACCUCUCCAGCAUACAGCCCAACAUCUCCUGCAUACAGCCCGACAUCUCCAUCAUACAGCCCGACAUCGCCAUCAUACAGCCCUACUUCACCUUCAUACAGCCCUACCUCUCCAUCUUACAGCCCUACGUCUCCAUCAUACAGCCCUACGUCUCCUUCAUACAGCCCUACGUCUCCAUCAUACAGCCCGACAUCGCCCUCGUACAGCCCGACAUCGCCUGCAUACAGCCCGACAUCGCCUGGAUACAGCCCAACAUCGCCGAGCUACAGCCCUACUUCGCCAAACUACAGUCCAACUUCACCGAGCUACAAUCCUUCUUCGGCCAAGUACAGCC
RNAcentral lists this long non-coding RNA (617 nucleotides) under Brachypodium distachyon (stiff brome). RNAcentral describes it as "long non-coding RNA (BDIS_LNC003090)". Lineage: Eukaryota; Viridiplantae; Streptophyta; Magnoliopsida; Poales; Poaceae. The record is from RNAcentral.